Molecule: ribosomal RNA, 454 nt
Filed under: uncultured bacterium
Lineage: Bacteria
Description: partial 16S ribosomal RNA
Rfam family: Bacterial small subunit ribosomal RNA
Source: RNAcentral
GAUGAACGCUGACAGAAUGCUUAACACAUGCAAGUCAACUUGAACUUCGGUUUGGGUGGCGGACGGGUGAGUAACGCGUAAAGAACUUGCCUCACAGAUAGGGACAACAUUUGGAAACGAAUGCUAAUACCUGAUAUUAUGAUUAUAUGGCAUCGUAUAAUUAUGAAAGCUAUAUGCGCUGUGAGAGAGCUUUGCGUCCCAUUAGCUAGUUGGAGAGGUAACGGCUCACCAAGGCGAUGAUGGGUAGCCGGCCUGAGAGGGUGAUCGGCCACAAGGGGACUGAGACACGGCCCGUACUCCUACGGGAGGCAGCAGGGGGGAAUAUUGGACAAUGGACCAAGAGUCUGAUCCAGCAAUUCUGUGUGCACGAUGAAGUUUUUCGGAAUGUAAAGUGCUUUCAGUUGGGAAGAAAAAAAUGACGGUACCAACAGAAGAAGUGACGGCUAAAUACGUG